This 389-nucleotide ribosomal RNA is filed under the name Chaetoceros sp. RNAcentral's name for it is "partial small subunit ribosomal RNA". It matches the Rfam family "Eukaryotic small subunit ribosomal RNA", at positions 582 to 975 of the family's 1831-position model. The record is from RNAcentral. Lineage: Eukaryota; Bacillariophyta; Thalassiosirophyceae; Chaetocerotales; Chaetocerotaceae.
AUUCCAGCUCCAAUAGCGUAUAUUAAAGUUGUUGCAGUUAAAAAGCUCGUAGUUGGAUUUCCGGCGUGAGGGAUCAGUCUGACUUCUAGUCAGUACUUGGUCCUCUCAUGCCGUCCUUGAAUGGUGCAUCCUGGCAUUAAGUUGUCGGGGUGAGAGCCGUUCAUCGUUUACUGUGAGAAAAUUAGAGUGUUCAAAGCAGGCUUAUGCCGUUGAAUAUAUUAGCAUGGAAUAAUAAGAUAGGACUUUGGUACUAUUUUGUUGGUUUGGGAACCAAGGUAAUGAUCAAUAGGGAUAGUUGGGGGCGUUUAUAUUCCGUUGUCAGAGGUGAAAUUCUUGGAUUUACGGAAGAUAAACUACUGCGAAAGCAUUCGCCAAGGAUGUUUUCAUUA